RNAcentral lists this ribosomal RNA (483 nucleotides) under uncultured bacterium. RNAcentral's name for it is "partial 16S ribosomal RNA". It matches the Rfam family "Bacterial small subunit ribosomal RNA", at positions 30 to 507 of the family's 1533-position model. The record is from RNAcentral.
AUUGAACGCUGGCGGCAGGCCUAACACAUGCAAGUCGAGCGGCAGAACAGAACUUGCUCCUUGUUUUAGCGGCCGAGGGGUGGGUGGUGCCUAGAAAUCUGGGUGGUUGCGUUGUAGAACGUGCUGACAUGAAGGCUAAUACGCCAUUAGUCCUACCGGAGAAAGCAGGAACGUUCGGGCUCUGCGCUAUCUGAGGAGCCUAGGUCGGAUUAGCUAGUUGGGGGGGUAAAGGCGCACCAAGGCGACGAUCCGUAACUGGUCUGAGAGGAUGAUCAGUCACACUGGAACUGAGACACGGUCCAGACUCCUACGGGAGGCAGCAGUGGGGAAUAUUGGACAAUGGGCGCAAGCCUGAUCCAGCCAUGCCGCGUGGGUGAAGAAGGUCUUCGGAUUGUAAAGCACUUUUGGUUGGAAGGAAGAGCAGUAAGCUAAUACCCUGCUGUUUUGACGUUACCCAAAGAAUAAGCACCGGCUAACUUCGUG